UACGUAGGGGGCUAGCGUUGUCCGGAAUCAUUGGGCGUAAAGCGCGUGUAGGCGGUUCGGUAAGUCCGCUGUGAAAGUCGGGGGCUCAACCCUCGGAUGCCGGUGGAUACUGUCGGACUAGAGUCCGGAAGAGGCGAGUGGAAUUCCCGGUGUAGCGGUGAAAUGCGCAGAUAUCGGGAGGAACACCAAUGGCGAAGGCAGCUCGCUGGGACGGUACUGACGCUGAGACGCGAAAGCGUGGGGAGCAAACAGG
This 253-nucleotide ribosomal RNA is filed under the name uncultured bacterium. RNAcentral's name for it is "partial 16S ribosomal RNA". It matches the Rfam family "Bacterial small subunit ribosomal RNA", at positions 524 to 776 of the family's 1533-position model. The record is from RNAcentral.